RNAcentral lists this ribosomal RNA (402 nucleotides) under uncultured bacterium. RNAcentral's name for it is "bacterial SSU rRNA". It matches the Rfam family "Bacterial small subunit ribosomal RNA", at positions 355 to 774 of the family's 1533-position model. The record is from RNAcentral.
UCGGGAAUUUUGGGCAAUGGGCGAAAGCCUGACCCAGCAACGCCGCGUGAGGGAUGAAGUAUUUCGGUAUGUAAACCUCGAAAGAAUGGGAAGAAUAAAUGACGGUACCAUUUAUAAGCUCCGGCUAACUACGUGCCAGCAGCCGCGGUAAUACGUAGGGAGCAAGCGUUGUUCGGAUUUACUGGGCGUAAAGGGCGCGUAGGCGGCGCGGUAAGUCACUUGUGAAAUCUCUGAGCUUAACCCAGAACGGCCAAGUGAUACUGCUGUGCUAGAGUGCGGAAGAGGCAACCGGAAUUCUUGGUGUAGCGGUGAAAUGCGUAGAUAUCAGGAGGAACACCUGCGGUGUAGACAGCUUUCUGGACCAAAACUGACGCUGAGGCACGAAAGCGUGGGUAGCAAACA